RNAcentral lists this ribosomal RNA (250 nucleotides) under uncultured bacterium. RNAcentral's name for it is "partial 16S ribosomal RNA". It matches the Rfam family "Bacterial small subunit ribosomal RNA", at positions 524 to 773 of the family's 1533-position model. The record is from RNAcentral.
UACGGAGGGAGCGAACGUUGUUCGGAUUCACUGGGCGUAAAGGGCGUGUAGGCGGUCUGGCAAGUCAGGGGUGAAAUGCCACGGCUCAACCGUGGAAUUGCCUUUGAAACUACCGGACUUGAGGCCGUGAGAGGAGACUGGAAUUCCCAGUGUAGCGGUGAAAUGCAUAGAUAUUGGGAAGAACACCAGUGGCGAAGGCGAGUCUCUGGCACGGUUCUGACGCUGAUGCGCGAAAGCUAGGGGAGCAAAC